This 350-nucleotide ribosomal RNA is filed under the name Pseudaphritis urvillii (congolli). Its description in RNAcentral is "partial 28S ribosomal RNA". Lineage: Eukaryota; Metazoa; Chordata; Actinopteri; Perciformes; Pseudaphritidae. The record is from RNAcentral.
CUGGGUCGGUCGGGCUGGGGUGCGAAGCGGGGCUGGGCUCGAGCCGCGGGCUGGGGGGAGCAGUCGUCCCGUCGCCCUCCUCUCUCCGCCGCCGCGCACAGGGUGCGCGGCCCGUCUCGCGGGGGCCCUCGUCCGCGGCGCCUCGGCGUCGCGCGGCGGGGGUCUUUCGCGGGGCGGUGUCCGACGCCGCGCGGAAGGCGGGCCGGAGGAGGUUGGAUACGGCGGUCGGCGGCGGCGACUCUGGACGCGCGCCGGGCCCUUCUCGCGGAUCUCCCCAGCUACGGCGCCGUUGGGUCCCGUUCGCGCGGGGCUCCGGCGGGUCGCCUCGUGGCGCCUAGCAGCUGACUUAG